GACGAACGCUGGCGGCGUGCUUAACACAUGCAAGUCGAACGGAAAGGCCCUGCUUUUGUGGGGUGCUCGAGUGGCGAACGGGUGAGUAACACGUGAGUAACCUGCCCUUGACUUUGGGAUAACUUCAGGAAACUGGGGCUAAUACCGGAUAGGAGCUCCUGCUGCAUGGUGGGGGUUGGAAAGUUUCGGCGGUUGGGGAUGGACUCGCGGCUUAUCAGCGUGUUGGUGGGGUGGUGGCUUACCAAGGCUUUGACGGGUAGCCGGCCUGGGAGGGUGACCGGCCACAUUGGGACUGAGAUACGGCCCAGACUCCUACGGGAGGCAGCAGUGGGGAAUAUUGCACAAUGGGCGGGAGCCUGAUGCAGCAACGCCGCGUGCGGGAUGACGGCCUUCGGGUUGUAAACCGCUUUCGCCUGUGACGAAGCGUGAGUGACGGUAAUGGGUAAAGAAGCACCGGCUAACUACGUG
This 468-nucleotide ribosomal RNA is filed under the name uncultured bacterium. RNAcentral describes it as "partial 16S ribosomal RNA". It matches the Rfam family "Bacterial small subunit ribosomal RNA", at positions 28 to 507 of the family's 1533-position model. The record is from RNAcentral.